UUUAAUUGCAGUUGUGGGUUUUAGUGUUUAAUGUUUAUCCGUCUUAUUUAAAUUAUUUUAUAAUUACUAUUUAUAUUGUUAUUAGAUGAUAAAAUAUGAAUAUUACUCAUGCAUGAAUCAAGUUUUUAAUUUUUUAUAAUUUCUUUAAAUAAGACAGACGGUUAAACGUUUGGUACGGAAACCCAUAACUGUACUAAAA
Molecule: non-coding RNA, 199 nt
Organism: Oryza glaberrima (African rice)
Lineage: Eukaryota; Viridiplantae; Streptophyta; Magnoliopsida; Poales; Poaceae
Source: Rfam